CCUGGCGGCACUAGCGCGGUGGUCCCACCUGACCCCAUGCCGAACUCAGAAGUGAAACGCCGUAGCGCCGAUGGUAGUGUGGGGUCUCCCCAUGUG
RNAcentral lists this ribosomal RNA (96 nucleotides) under Pseudomonas aeruginosa. The record is from RNAcentral. RNAcentral also lists the same sequence under 3 other names. Lineage: Bacteria; Pseudomonadati; Pseudomonadota; Gammaproteobacteria; Pseudomonadales; Pseudomonadaceae.